GGACGUGAGGGUGAUCUGGCUGCAAUAUCUGUCACCCCAUUGAUCACCAGGGUUGAUUCACCUGAUCUGGCUGGCUAGGUGGGUGUCCCCUUCCUCCCUCACCGCUCCACGUGCAUCCCUCACUUGGUGGAAGAGGACGACCAUCCCCAAUAGAGGAGGACCGUUCUUCUGUCAAGGGUAUAUGAGUAGCUGCGCUCCCCUGCUAGAACCUCCAAACAAGCUCUCAAAAAUGGCCAAUACAUAACUCAUUCUCUCUUAAAACCACUCUGGUGAGGUUUCUUCUUUGCUA
Molecule: small RNA, 289 nt
Filed under: Castor canadensis (American beaver)
Lineage: Eukaryota; Metazoa; Chordata; Mammalia; Rodentia; Castoridae
Description: 7SK RNA (ENSCCNG00000026350.1)
Rfam family: 7SK RNA
About the family: 7SK was discovered as an abundant small nuclear RNA in the mid-70s but a possible function has only recently been suggested. Two independent studies have found that 7SK RNA binds the CDK9/cyclin T complex (known as elongation factor P-TEFb). P-TEFb activates transcription by phosphorylating the C-terminal domain of RNA polymerase II.
Source: Rfam by way of RNAcentral